GAUGAACGCUAGCUACAGGCUUAACACAUGCAAGUCGCGGGGCAGCAUGGGGGUUGCUUGCAACCCCUGAUGGCGACCGGCGCACGGGUGAGUAACGCGUAUCCAACCUGCCCUUCACCACGGGAUAACCCGGCGAAAGUCGGACUAAUACCGUAUUUUUUCCAUUGACGGCAUCCGAUUUGGACGAAGGGCUUGGCGGUGAAAGGAUGGGGAUGCGUCCGAUUAGCUUGACGGCGGGGUAACGGCCCACCGUGGCUACGAUCGGUAGGGGUUCUGAGAGGAAGGUCCCCCAGACUGGAACUGAGACACGGUCCAGACUCCUACGGGAGGCAGCAGUGAGGAAUAUUGAUCAAUGGGCGUAAGCCUGAACCAGCCAAGUAGCGUGCAGGAUGACGGCCCUAUGGGUUGUAAACUGCUUUUAUGCGGGGAUAAAGUGGCCAACGUGUGGGCUUUUGCAGGUACCGAAUGAAUAAGGACCGGCUAAUUCCGUG
Molecule: ribosomal RNA, 491 nt
Filed under: uncultured bacterium
Lineage: Bacteria
Description: partial 16S ribosomal RNA
Rfam family: Bacterial small subunit ribosomal RNA
Source: RNAcentral